GAUGAAGAACGCAGCGAAAUGCGAUAAGUAGUGUGAAUUGCAGAAUUCAGUGAAUCAUCGAAUCUUUGAACGCACAUUGCGCCCCUUGGUAUCCCGAGGGGCAUGCCUGUUCGAGCGUCAUUAUCACCCCUCAAGCCCUGGCUUGGUGUUGGACUUUAGUUAUAGCUUUGCCUAUCAACUGGUCUCAAAGAUAGUGACGGCGCCCCAGAGGGAACCGGGUACGAGGAGCUUUUUACUAAGCAUGUAUCUGGGACGACUCUGGGCGACGGUCUUGUUAUACUUUUUACCUAAGUGUUGACCUCGGAUCAGGUAGGAAUACCCGCUGAACUUAAGCAUAUCAAUAAGCGGAGGA
This 352-nucleotide unclassified non-coding RNA is filed under the name soil metagenome. RNAcentral describes it as "partial contains 5.8S ribosomal RNA, internal transcribed spacer 2, and large subunit ribosomal RNA". The stretch from base 1 to 120 matches the Rfam family "5.8S ribosomal RNA", at positions 35 to 154 of the family's 154-position model. The record is from RNAcentral.